CACUAGGUCAAUUUUUUAUUUAUAUCUGUAGUCAGAUUCUUCUAUGUAAACUUUUUGUGUUCAUCUAUAUGAUUCCUAGACACAGAUUUUUGGUGUGAUAUUUCAAUUCUUUAUCUGUUCGGGUGGUACUAAAGGCAUCCUUUUUGCCAAUUAUUUAGUAUUAACUUGUUAUCGAUGCCGAAGAUUAAACGUUUUAAGAAUCCACUAAAAUCUGCUAAAGGACAUGCUUCAUCAUCAACUACUCCAAUGUCAAGAGCCCUCCCAGAUGCUUCAACAAAUCACUCACAAGUUCAUGAAGUCCAACAACAAGAAGCAACUCAUGCUCUCCCCCAACAAGAACAAGUUUCAAUUCCCCCACAACAAAAACAAGCUCCAAUUUUUUUGCAGUAAGAACAAGCUUCAAUUCUACCUUCUAAUUCAAGUGCAACAUCGAUGCAUCGACGUUCAUCUCCAAAAUAUUGGAGAGUAGAUGCAUCGACGUUCAUCUCCAAAAUAUUGGAGAGUAGAUACAAAAGACUCAAAAAAAAAAAGCUAUCAAGCAAAUUAAUGUCAAGGUCAAUGAGGUUAAUUACCUACCUGUUGGAGAGCGCAUCAUUGUGAAUUUUGAUGACUAUGACGCAGCAUAUGGUGAUGCGCAAGGAUUGCUCGUCGGCUAUUGCGGAUCGUUGGUAAUUGAUUAUAAUUUAUUUCCUAUUAGUUUUGAGAAGUGGUCAGGGCCAUCAGACAUGCCUAAGAAGUACAUGGAAGACUGCUUUGAAACAAUACUGAAGUGUCGUUUUGUUUUUCAGGCAAAUGAGUCCAUUGCAUACAGAUAUUGUAAUGCUAGUAUCUCAAAGAAGUGGGCUACACAUAGAUAAAGGUUAUGGAAUGAAUAUUUUGACCCAGUCAAAAGCAAAAAUGGGAUUAUUAGUAAUGUACAAUCUGGUAUAACUAAAGAUCAAUGGGCUAGUUUUGUUGCCUACCGCCUGAAACCAUCAACAAUAGAGCUGAGCUUUGUAGAAGAAAUAAGAAAAUUUAGCGAAAGCAAAAAAUGCCACACACUGGUGGUUCAAAAGCUAACUCAAGAAG
Long non-coding RNA from Capsicum annuum, 1068 nucleotides. RefSeq lists it as uncharacterized. The transcript has 4 exons. The record is from RefSeq and is a predicted model, not a curated record. Lineage: Eukaryota; Viridiplantae; Streptophyta; Magnoliopsida; Solanales; Solanaceae.